CAAGCGCCCGGACCAAAAUCCACACGUGGUUGACGAGGAGAAGGUUUAUCGAAAGAUUCGGCGGAUGCCUUCCGUUUUGUGCAGGCGAUAUUUCGACUUAAAAAGUCCGGGUAAUCGGAUAACAAAGAGCCGAA
Molecule: non-coding RNA, 134 nt
Filed under: pig gut metagenome
Description: glmS glucosamine-6-phosphate activated ribozyme
Rfam family: glmS glucosamine-6-phosphate activated ribozyme aptamer
About the family: This entry contains a glucosamine-6-phosphate activated ribozyme that is found in the mRNA for GlmS. GlmS is an enzyme that uses fructose-6-phosphate and glutamine to generate glucosamine-6-phosphate.
Source: RNAcentral